AUUGAACGCUGGCGGCAUGCUUUACACAUGCAAGUCGAACGGCAGCGCGGGCUUCGGCCUGGCGGCGCGUGGCGAACGGGUGAGUAAUACACCGGAACGUGCCCAGCAGUGGGGGAUAGCUCGGCGAAAGCCGGAUUAAUACCGCAUACGACCUGAGGGUGAAAGCGGGGGAUCUUCGGACCUCGCGCUAUGGGAGCGGCCGAUGGCAGAUUAGCUAGUUGGUGGGGUAAAGGCCUACCAAGGCGACGAUCUGUAGCUGGUCUGAGAGGACGACCAGCCACACUGGGACUGAGACACGGCCCAGACUCCUACGGGAGGCAGCAGUGGGGAAUGUUGGACAAUGGGCGAAAGCCUGAUACAGCAAUGCCGCGUGUGUGAUGAAGGCCUUCGGGUUGUAAAGCACUUUUGGCGGGAACGAAAAGGACUGUGCCAAUACCACGGUUGGAUGACGGUACCCGCAGAAUAAGCACCGGCUAACUACGUG
Molecule: ribosomal RNA, 484 nt
Filed under: uncultured bacterium
Lineage: Bacteria
Description: partial 16S ribosomal RNA
Rfam family: Bacterial small subunit ribosomal RNA
Source: RNAcentral